GAUGAACGCUAGCGGCAGGCUUAACACAUGCAAGUCGAGGGGUAUAGUUCUUCGGAACUAGAGACCGGCGCACGGGUGCGUAACGCGUAUGCAAUCUACCUUUUACAGAGGGAUAGCCCAGAGAAAUUUGGAUUAAUACCUCAUAGUAUGUGAGAAUCGCAUGGUUUUCAUAUUAAAGUUCCAACGGUAAAAGAUGAGCAUGCGUCCCAUUAGCUAGAUGGUAAGGUAACGGCUUACCAUGGCGACGAUGGGUAGGGGUCCUGAGAGGGAGAUCCCCCACACUGGUACUGAGACACGGACCAGACUCCUACGGGAGGCAGCAGUGAGGAAUAUUGGACAAUGGGCGCAAGCCUGAUCCAGCCAUGCCGCGUGCAGGAUGACGGUCCUAUGGAUUGUAAAGCUCUUUCAGCAGGAACGAAACGGUACGCGCUAACAUCGUGUGCUAAUGACGGUACCUGCAGAAGAAGCACCGGCUAACUACGUG
Molecule: ribosomal RNA, 484 nt
Filed under: uncultured bacterium
Lineage: Bacteria
Description: bacterial SSU rRNA
Rfam family: Bacterial small subunit ribosomal RNA
Source: RNAcentral